RNAcentral lists this ribosomal RNA (207 nucleotides) under uncultured bacterium. Its description in RNAcentral is "partial 16S ribosomal RNA". It matches the Rfam family "Bacterial small subunit ribosomal RNA", at positions 568 to 774 of the family's 1533-position model. The record is from RNAcentral.
CACGUAGGCGGAUUGUUAAGUUAGGGGUGAAAUCCCAGGGCUCAACCCUGGAACUGCCUUUAAUACUGGCAAUCUCGAGCCCGAGAGAGGUGAGUGGAAUUCCGAGUGUAGAGGUGAAAUUCGUAGAUAUUCGGAGGAACACCAGUGGCGAAGGCGGCUCACUGGCUCGGUACUGACGCUGAGGUGCGAAAGCGUGGGGAGCAAACA